GAUUCCAUCUACCGGCGGCAAGCGGGAAGCUCAUGUGUCGUCCGCCUUUCACGACAACAUGGCAAGUGUGCCAGCCACUCAGCACGUCUAUGUUUAGGCCGCUCACUCAAUCUCAGCUGCGCGCAUUCGUCACAGCGGAGCUGCCAAAUACGCGGCAACAUCCGCGGCGUCCUUGAACGCACCACUUCCCAUUCACUCCCACGCGCCGCGGGUGGCUCACCUGGAGGACAGUUGCAUUCAGGGAGCAUCGGCCACGCGCACGGGUCAAUCUCACCUGGGAGAGCAUCUCGUUGACUUUUUGCGCAACCAACGCAUCCAAAUCGUCGGCGGGGGCGCGCGUCGACGCGUCCGCGCCGCGCUCCAAACCCGCCAGCCGGCGCCUGACGUCUGCUGCGUGGAUGCUGAGCACCACGCAGAAGGCGAUGGACGCUACCGAGCACAGCGACGGGAUGACGCUGGCGGCUCGACGCCGAGGGGUCACUUUCUCGUCCAUGUUCCCCGUGGACGCUCCACGCUCCAUCCGAAUUACGGCGCGGGUUGACGGUCACGAGGCGUUCACGUUCACCGCCGCAAAACUUGUUGCACCUCAGACGUUCGCGAGAGGAGGCGCUGAGGAAUCGCGUGUAAAUCAAGGCGGCGUGGGCACUCAGAGCUUUUCCACGCUCAAGCACAAACACACACGCCCCCACCCUCGUUAUGGCAGCAACACGCCCCCAAACUCUCGUGGCACCCUGCAGUCACUCACCGGAUGACGACAGCCGUGAAAUCAAUUGGCAUGUAGCCUUCAUUCAAUUCAAUUAAACUUGCAAUUGACAAGC
Molecule: long non-coding RNA, 818 nt
Organism: Syngnathus acus (greater pipefish)
Lineage: Eukaryota; Metazoa; Chordata; Actinopteri; Syngnathiformes; Syngnathidae
Exons: 2
Source: RefSeq, a predicted model, not a curated record